CUCAGGUGUUGUUGGGUAGGGGAGCGUUCUGUAAGCCUGUGAAGGUGUGUCGUGAGGCAUGCUGGAGGUAUCAGAAGUGCGAAUGCUGACAUAAGUAACGAUAAAGCGGGUGAAAAGCCCGCUCGCCGGAAGACCAAGGGUUCCUGUCCAACGUUAAUCGGGGCAGGGUGAGUCGACCCCUAAGGCGAGGCCGAAAGGCGUAGUCGAUGGGAAACGGGUUAAUAUUCCCGUACUUGGUGUUACUGCGAAGGGGGGACGGAGAAGGCUAUGUUGACCGGGCGACGGUUGUCCCGGUUUAAGCGUGUAGGUGUGUGUUCCAGGUAAAUCCGGUUCACUUUAACACUGAGGCGUGACGACGAGGCACUACGGUGCUGAAGCAACAAAUGCCCUGCUUCCAGGAAAAGCCUCUAAGCAUCAGGUAACAUCAAAUCGUACCCCAAACCGACACAGGUGGUCAGGUAGAGAAUACCAAGGCGCUUGAGAGAACUCGGGUGAAGGAACUAGGCAAAAUGGUGCCGUAACUUCGGGAGAAGGCACGCUGACACGUAGGUGAAGUGAUUUACUCAUGGAGCUGAAGUCAGUCGAAGAUACCAGCUGGCUGCAACUGUUUAUUAAAAACACAGCACUGUGCAAACACGAAAGUGGACGUAUACGGUGUGACGCCUGCCCGGUGCCGGAAGGUUAAUUGAUGGGGUCAGCGCAAGCGAAGCUCCUGAUCGAAGCCCCGGUAAACGGCGGCCGUAACUAUAACGGUCCUAAGGUAGCGAAAUUCCUUGUCGGGUAAGUUCCGACCUGCACGAAUGGCGUAAUGAUGGCCAGGCUGUCUCCACCCGAGACUCAGUGAAAUUGAACUCGCUGUGAAGAUGCAGUGUACCCGCGGCAAGACGGAAAGACCCCGUGAACCUUUACUAUAGCUUGACACUGAACAUUGAGCCUUGAUGUGUAG
Molecule: ribosomal RNA, 946 nt
Filed under: Salmonella enterica subsp. enterica serovar Thompson
Lineage: Bacteria; Pseudomonadati; Pseudomonadota; Gammaproteobacteria; Enterobacterales; Enterobacteriaceae
Description: partial 23S ribosomal RNA
Rfam family: Bacterial large subunit ribosomal RNA
Source: RNAcentral